RNAcentral lists this transfer RNA (72 nucleotides) under Rhodococcus phage Trina. Its description in RNAcentral is "tRNA-Cys". It matches the Rfam family "tRNA". From Rfam's summary of the family: Transfer RNA (tRNA) molecules are approximately 80 nucleotides in length. Their secondary structure includes four short double-helical elements and three loops (D, anti-codon, and T loops). Lineage: Duplodnaviria; Heunggongvirae; Uroviricota; Caudoviricetes. The record is from RNAcentral.
UGGUGAUUGACCGAGUGGUUAGGUAGUGGAUUGCAAAUCCAUGUAGGCCGGUUCGAUUCCGGUAUCACCUUC